Long non-coding RNA from Meriones unguiculatus (Mongolian gerbil), 3627 nucleotides. RefSeq lists it as uncharacterized. The record is from RefSeq and is a predicted model, not a curated record. The transcript has 2 exons. Lineage: Eukaryota; Metazoa; Chordata; Mammalia; Rodentia; Muridae.
CUGGGAUGCCAAGUUAAGCAACUGUGUUUUUAUCAAAGAAGAAGAAGAAGAAGAAGAAGAAGAAGAAGAAGAAGAAGAAGAAGAAGAAGAAGAAGAAGAAGAAGAAGAAGAGUAUAACAUAAAUGUAUUUUAUAGAAACUCUUACAUGGUUUUGAGUCUACUACUGGAAUUCUCACUGUGUCUCAUGGAUUUGUGUCUGUGUGAUUACACUUGACCUUAUCAUUGGUCCUACAUAUCCUUGUACUUUUUGAUAGGCUGGAGAAUGUUCAUUAAGUAUGAGAAGAAAGAAACACAGAUGAUGAUAUCCAGGGCCAAAUGAAUACCCCCGAAUGUUGUGAUUUCCCUAGGUCCAAUUACUAGGCUAAGAGGCUUCGGGGUUCAAAUGUGAUCGCUAAUGCCAAUCCUGGCAUUUGUACGUAGGGUGCUUGGGGAUGUGGGAAAUUUAGACCUCCUCUAACUGUCGGCACUUCAAUUGCUGCAGUUCCUUCUCAAGAGUGGCAGUGCAAGCAGAAACCUAAAAUCAGGGAUGAAUGGAUUUGGCGAUUCCUACAAAUCUACUGCAGGAAAUCACCCAAAUGGAAAACCCAGAGCCCAGCUCUCAGCCAUCCCGUUUGGUCUGUGAACAUUGACUCAUAUCUAUUUGAGUGAGAAUGAUGGGAAUCCAGGAAAUCUGGAAUUCCUGCUCUAGAAAUGGAGGCUUCCUGCGAAGACCAUUGUCGGAUUCACCCAAAGACGAUAAUUUGAGACCAGCAGAGACUGUAAAACCUGGAGGCAUAGUCAGUGGAAAUUGUGUCGCAAGCCAGCAACUUUCCACUCACCUGAUUGGUGUGAUGCUGUGGGCUGCAAGAGGUCACGGCAGAUGACUACAAGGAAAGAGAGAAGACAAAGGCGUGAGCUCCCUGCCCCUUGGCAGCAUAGUCUAGUGGAGCAGUAGAAAAUCAGAAAAGGUGCUGGUCGAUAGGGCCCUCGGAGCUCUCACACAGAUGUGCCCCAGGAGUGUAUAGGAAUCUGCCUCAGGGAAAAAGGGGCUUUGGGACCUAAGGACUUCCCUAAACAUCACUUGUCUCAAGGAGAAGUAGACCCUUAUCUCCCACAUCCCGUUGGCUGGGCCUCAUCGUAAUCCUACUGAGCAUGAAUUUUAUGUCAUCACCUCUUUUUGUGACAUUGGGUUGUCAACACAGACCCUGCCUUGGACAGACAGAGCUACGCAUGCCUUUUGAUCCUCUACAAGAACAGCUUACCAGAGCCGACAAGACUUCCUUGGAGAUGGGUUGUGUGGGUCUUUCAGGUGGAUCUACUCAUGAUUGGCUGGAGAAUGAUCACCAAGUAAGAGUUGAAUGAAAACCAGAGAGGAUACUCAGGGCCAAAGGACAACCCAAUGAAUCUUGCUGAUUUUCCUCAGUCCAAUCACCAGGGUAAGUGACAGACAUCUGAGUGAGAGUGUGAUGACUAAUCCAACCCGGGCAAUGGUUCCCAGGAAGCAUGGCUAUUGUGCAGUAUGAUAGCCUUUGGGAACUGUCAGGCUGUCAAUUGCUGAAGCUCCUGCUCAAGGGUGGCAUUGCAAGCAGAAACUCGAGACCAGGCAAGAAUAGAUUUGGUGGUUCCUACAAAUCUCCUGCCAGAAGUCACCCAAAAGGAAAAUGCAGAGUGCAGCUCUCAGGUAUCCCAUUUUGUCUGUGAACAUUCACUCCUGUCUAUUUCUGUUAAAAUUCAUGGAUUCCAGGAACUUUGGAAUCACUGCUCUGGAAAUGAGGUUUGUUUGGCAGACUCUUUUCAGAUUUAACCAAAGUAAAUAAGCUGACACCAGCUGAGGAUUGUAGAAGGUGUAGGCAUAUGGCCAUAGGACAGGAUGUCUAGAGGCAGAAUCUUUCCACUCACCUGUAUGGUGUGAGGCUGUGUGCAUGGCUAUUGUGGAGUAUGAUACCUUCGGGAACUCCAAGUUUUAGCCUGCAACAUAAUAAGGAUGAAUGUUAUCAGAAAAGGAAAUGCGUCUAGGGAAACUUGACUUUCUACUGUGUCCUGACCUUCAAGAUUGCCAGCUGUUCAGUCCUUCCCAGAACCAACUAUUGAAUUCAUUUCCUUCCCUCCAAUCCCCUCAGAGUUUAUCCACUGUGGUAAGGAUUUCUAUUCUUCUGAUGGUGUCCUCUAAAGCUGUCUUUGAGAGCAUCUUUACCACUGCCAGCAGACACUGUGUGGACGCCUCUCAGUUGGAAGAGAGGAUGUUGCACAAAGCAAAGAAGAUGCACUGCAUAUAGCAUUGCAGUAUGGUCAUUUUAACUCCUCGUUUCUCAAAGUCAAAACGAACAAGUUGCACAGAGGUGAAAGUCAGUAAGCCCUAUUGUAUCUUUGAGAUUUCAGGGUGUGAUUGAAAUUUGUGCUCUGUGCAUGGAAAUCUCUCCUUGUUUAACAAACAGAGUCUUCCAUAAUAGACUUUAGAUUUCUUCCCUUCCAUGCAACCUCAUUUUGGAAGAGAAGGGAAUCCAAAUGUGCCUUUGUGUCUACAUGUACGUUACCAUGUCUCGAUUCAUGGAACUCAAGUCUUCCACUUGGAAGAGCAUUGGAAUCAUCUACCAUGUUUCAGUUUAAAUCUGAUGAAAAGAAGAUGUUUUCUAUGCACUAACCGAAUAACCUGUGGUCAAACACUCAUGGGUUGCUCUGUAUUGAGUAUGUUGUACUACACAACUGAUCUUACAUGAUGUCCUUGAUUGGAUAUUCAAUGCUUUACCCAUGGCUUUAGAAAUUGUGUAUCCACAUAUAUAUAUGUGUCAGUCCUGAAUUAAUUGUGUUCAUCAUGAGGACAUUAAGAAGAUUCAGUGUGUGGUUCUUUCUUGUUUCAUUUGAGAGUUAGCGUGUCUGCUCCAUUAUCAGGACUGUGGGUCUACCAGCUAGCAACAUGUUCUUUUGAAAUAUCUUUCCUUUAUUUUUUAAAGGAAUAGUUGUUUUCAUAGAUCUUGGGUAACACGCAAAUUUUGUUAGAAGAGAUGGUUUUCAUCUGUGGGAGAGCGGCAAUAAGAGGAUGAAUGUACCCUGGAGGAAAACAGAAACAAUAACAACAAAUAACAGAAAGCAAAGCCCAAUUGUCAUUUCUCAUGAUGGAUCAACUGAGAUGGUUUCUGCGCGCGAGAGAGAUAGGUAAACACAACAUGCUCUGGAAGAUUUUGGCAGCUAAGACAUAAAUGAUGAACACCAAUAAAACUAGGGAAUGUCUCAAACAGGUGCCCUGGCUUCUCACCUAGCCAUUAUUAUCUAGAAUUUACCCAGCCUCCAACAGGAAAGACCAUUUCAAUUUUCCCUAUAUAUAAAUUGAAUGAUCCUGGAUUUAUAUGUUGUAUGUCAGCCUUUACAACUUUGGGUAAAAGUCGAGGGCAUUCAUUGUCCUCCAAUAUUCUUUGGACUACUGGGAUGAGCCAUAACAUCCCCUCCUGACACUUUUCCACAUAUGUGCAAGGGUACAUCGACCGAGACUAGGAAUGAGCAGCACGUUCGAAUUCAUCAUUUCUUAGAUAUUUUUUGAGUACGUCCAUUAGAUUUCUCUACCUGAUAUAUGUGCCUACUCCUAUUGUAAAGCCUGUCUCCCUAUCACUUGGAAUCAUUUCAAUCUCUUUUAAAAUAGAAAGCAAUGAAAAA